GUUAGAAUAGUUUAGACAAAACGCUAAAUUUAUAAUUUAAGUGAUAGAUAAUUUCUUCUAACA
Molecule: transfer RNA, 63 nt
Filed under: Halipeurus diversus
Lineage: Eukaryota; Metazoa; Arthropoda; Insecta; Psocodea; Philopteridae
Description: tRNA-Met
Source: RNAcentral